GUGUCAGCCGCCGCGGUAAUACGUAGGGGGCAAGCGUUGUCCGGAUUUAUUGGGCGUAAAGAGCGUGUAGGCGGUUAGGUAGGUCCGUUGUGAAAACUCGAGGCUCAACCUCGAGACGCCGAUGGAAACCAUCUGACUAGAGUCCGGAAGAGGAGAGUGGAAUUCCUGGUGUAGCGGUGAAAUGCGCAGAUAUCAGGAAGAACACCCGUGGCUAAGGCGGCUCUCUAGUACGUGACUGACGCUGAGACGCGAAAGCGUGGGGAGCGAACAGGAUUAGAUACCCUAGUAGUCC
This 292-nucleotide ribosomal RNA is filed under the name uncultured bacterium. RNAcentral's name for it is "partial 16S ribosomal RNA". It matches the Rfam family "Bacterial small subunit ribosomal RNA", at positions 505 to 796 of the family's 1533-position model. The record is from RNAcentral.